CACACCUGUGAGCGAUCUGAAUCAGCAGCACUACAAAUACCUGGUCCUCCUGCCACUUCAGUGCCGGAUUGUUCCUUCGCCACGGGUGAUUAUAAUCGUCAAGUACUUAGUCAUCAAGUGUGUCUAAAGAUCAGAGUUUUUUCCCCUCAUGCCUAACGUGCUGUGUUUUUUCUCUCCGUGUGCAGCGUUCCUCCUGCUACCUGUUUUUUCACCAGGCGUCUUGGAGCUGGCUUCCUGGAUAUUUUUGUUUUGCUUCAGUUGUCUCCACAAUAAAUUGAUUGUACUCUUCAAUUUGUCUCCGUCUCAGCUCCUGGGUCCCUCUGUUGAGAGCACACCCUGACAGAACAAUCCGGCCACAUGGACCCUGCUGAGACUGAACGCCUCCGUCAAGCCCUCUCCACUCAAGGAGCCAUGGUUGGGCAACAUGAACAAACCCUGAAGGAAGUUGUGGAUGUUCUACAAGGGCUCUCUUCCAAGGUUUCCCAGCUUGGAGUCCACAUGGACCAGGUGGCCAAGCAGCUCACGGUUCUCUCUUCUGGACCCAGCCUCCCUGCUCCUCCUUUGUCUCCUCCACCAGCCCCACCUUUUUUCUACUGCACCCUCACGUGAGCCAUUCAUUCCCAUUCCUGCUAGGUUUUCAGGAGAUCUAGGUAACUGUGGUCAGUUUCUCCACCAGUGCUCUCUUGUUUUUUUAGUCAGCAACCCCACACCUAUCAGUCAGACCCUUCCAGAAUAGCCUUUGUUAUGAGUUUAUUAGUUGAUAGGGCAGCUCAGUGGGCAGCAGCCGUGUCACGCCAGGACUCCCCUGUUUGUCACUCUUACAGGCGGUUCUCUGCAGAAAUGCUAAGGAUUUUUGACCAUCCAGUCAGAGGUAAGGAGAUCGGUAACAGGCUCCUCACACUUCGUCAGGGCUCAAAGUCAGUUGCAAAUUACGCAAUAGAUUUCAGGAUUUUAGUGGCAGAGAGUGGGUGGGAUGACAUGGCUUUGCAGGGGGUGUUCACUAAGGGUUUAGCUGACAAUAUCAAGGAUGAGCUGGCAGCUCGAGAUGAGACCACCUCUCUUGAUGAUUUAAUAUCCCUAGCCACUAGUCUAGAUAACCGACUAAGGGAGAGAUGCAGGGAGAGACAAGCUAGUUUCCCUCCAGUUCCCCAGGCUCUUGCCAGAAGCCCCAGCACCCACUUAGUCAGUCCUUCUCCCCCACCCCCCAUCCCUGAAGAACCUAUGCAGCUUGGACGGAUGGGGCUAACACCAGCGGAACGCCAAAGAAGAUUCAGAGAGAGGCUCUGCAUAUACUGUGGACUCGCAGGUCAUGUGCGAGUAAAUUGUCCUGAGCUGUUAAACACCCAGGCUCAUCACUCUUCAGGGGGGCGCUGAUGAGCCGCACUGCCACCUCUUCUUCCCCCCUCUCGUCGUAUCCAUCUCCCGGGUUCUCUGCUAUGGCCACAGCACAAGUCACCACUGCAGACCCUACGACUGCCCCAUUGACCUGCUCCCUGGAGCAUCCCUGCCAACAAGCCGACUCUACAAUCUGUCCCGACCUGAGCAGGAUGCCAUGGAGAAGUACAUUAACGAGUCCCUGGCUCUUUGUCUCUCCCUGUGUUCAUUUGUUCAAGUCCAAGUCCAUCUGCUACAGAAAACCAUCCAUCGCUACAGUUUAUAUAAUGACAUAUCUGUUUAUAAAAUACCAUAUUUGUAUGCAGACACUUUGAGUUAUCCUUUGGUUUAAUCAGUCCUGAACGUGACUUGUAGAAUGACAUUCAAAUGUACUCAAGAUGCUAAACCGAGGCUUUCAAUGAUUUGCUCCUGAAAGAGAAUCAAAUAAUACGUGACGUCUCUAACAAAGUUUACACCACACCUACAAGUGCAAUGAGUUGAUAAUGGAAAAAGCUAUGAAUAAAGAAUUAAAUAUUCUUGUUCUUUG
This is a long non-coding RNA of Notolabrus celidotus (New Zealand spotty), 1921 nucleotides long. RefSeq lists it as uncharacterized. The transcript is spliced from 2 exons. Lineage: Eukaryota; Metazoa; Chordata; Actinopteri; Labriformes; Labridae. The record is from RefSeq and is a predicted model, not a curated record.